Molecule: ribosomal RNA, 433 nt
Filed under: uncultured bacterium
Lineage: Bacteria
Description: partial 16S ribosomal RNA
Rfam family: Bacterial small subunit ribosomal RNA
Source: RNAcentral
AACGAACGCUGGCGGCAUGCCUAACACAUGCAAGUCGAACGAGACCUUCGGGUCUAGUGGCGCACGGGUGCGUAACGCGUGGGAACCUGCCCUUAGGUUCGGAAUAACUCCCCGAAAGGGGUGCUAAUACCGGAUAAUGUCUUCGGACCAAAGAUUUAUCGCCUUUGGAUGGGCCCGCGUUGGAUUAGCUAGUUGGUAGGGUAAAAGCCUACCAAGGCGACGAUCCAUAGCUGGUCUGAGAGGAUGAUCAGCCACACUGGGACUGAGACACGGCCCAGACUCCUACGGGAGGCAGCAGUGGGGAAUAUUGGACAAUGGGCGAAAGCCUGAUCCAGCAAUGCCGCGUGAGUGAUGGAGGCCUUAGGGUUGUAAAGCCCUUUUACCCGGGAUGAUAAUGACAGUACCGGGAGAAUAAGCUCCGGCUAACUCCGUG